GUGUUGAUCUGUCCCCUGGUAGUAAAGGAAUAAAGGUGUUGAUCUGUCCCCUGGUAGUAAAGGAAUAAAGGUGUUGAUCUGUCCCCUGGUAGUAAAGGUGUUGAUCUGUCC
This is a non-coding RNA of Oncorhynchus mykiss (rainbow trout), 111 nucleotides long. The record is from RefSeq and is a predicted model, not a curated record. Lineage: Eukaryota; Metazoa; Chordata; Actinopteri; Salmoniformes; Salmonidae.